AAGUCGUAACAAGGUCUCCGUUGGUGAACCAGCGGAGGGAUCAUUACCGAGUUUUCAACUCCCAAACCCCAUGUGAACUUAUUAUACCUUUUUUACCGUUGCUUCGGCGGGUUCUUCGCCCCGGAUUACCCGGAACCAGGCGGCCCGCCGGGGGACCCAAACUCUUGUAUUUUUUACUUUUAGCAUGUCUGAGUGGAAUCAUACAAAAUGAAUCAAAACUUUCAACAACGGAUCUCUUGGUUCUG
RNAcentral lists this unclassified non-coding RNA (245 nucleotides) under Pochonia sp. RNAcentral's name for it is "partial internal transcribed spacer region". The stretch from base 1 to 46 matches the Rfam family "Eukaryotic small subunit ribosomal RNA", at positions 1786 to 1831 of the family's 1831-position model. The record is from RNAcentral. Lineage: Eukaryota; Fungi; Ascomycota; Sordariomycetes; Hypocreales; Clavicipitaceae.